RNAcentral lists this ribosomal RNA (483 nucleotides) under uncultured bacterium. RNAcentral's name for it is "partial 16S ribosomal RNA". It matches the Rfam family "Bacterial small subunit ribosomal RNA", at positions 28 to 507 of the family's 1533-position model. The record is from RNAcentral.
AUUGAACGCUGGCGGCAUGCUUUACACAUGCAAGUCGAACGGCAGCGCGGGCUUCGGCCUGGCUGCGAGUGGCGAACGGGUGAGUAAUGCAUCGGAACGUGCCCAGCAGUGGGGGAUAGCCCGGCGAAAGCCGGAUUAAUACCGCAUACGACCUGCGGGUGCAAGCGGGGGACCGAAAGGCCUCGCGCUAUUGGAGCGGCCGAUGUCGGAUUAGCUAGUUGGUGGGGUAAAGGCUUACCAAGGCGACGAUCCGUAGCUGGUCUGAGAGGACGAACAGCCACACUGGGACUGAGCCACGGCCCAGACUCCUACGGGAGGCAGCAGUGGGUAAUUUUGGACACUGGGGCAACCCUGAUCCAGCCAUGCCGCGUGCGGGAAGAAGGCCUUCGGGUUGUAAACCGCUUUUGUGCGGGAAGAAAUCCUCUGGGCUAAUACCCCGGGGGGAUGACGGUACCGGAAGAAUAAGCACCGGCUAACUACGUG